Molecule: ribosomal RNA, 482 nt
Filed under: uncultured bacterium
Lineage: Bacteria
Description: partial 16S ribosomal RNA
Rfam family: Bacterial small subunit ribosomal RNA
Source: RNAcentral
AUUGAACGCUGGCGGCAUGCCUUACACAUGCAAGUCGAACGGUAACGGGCCUUCGGGUGCCGACGAGUGGCGAACGGGUGAGUAAUACAUCGGAACGUGCCCGAUCGUGGGGGAUAACGAGGCGAAAGCUUUGCUAAUACCGCAUACGAUCUACGGAUGAAAGCAGGGGACCGCAAGGCCUUGCGCGGGCGGAGCGGCCGAUGGCAGAUUAGGUAGUUGGUGGGAUAAAAGCUUACCAAGCCGACGAUCUGUAGCUGGUCUGAGAGGAUGAUCAGCAACACUGGGACUGAGACACGGCCCAGACUCCUACGGGAGGCAGCAGUGGGGAAUUUUGGACAAUGGGCGCAAGCCUGAUCCAGCCAUGCCGCGUGCAGGAUGAAGGCCUUCGGGUUGUAAACUGCUUUUGUACGGAACGAAAAGCCUUCUUUUAAUACAGGAGGGUCAUGACGGUACCGUAAGAAUAAGCACCGGCUAACUACGUG